CCUACGGGAGGCAGCAGUGAGGAAUAUUGGUCAAUGGACGAGAGUCUGAACCAGCCAAGUAGCGUGAAGGAUGACUGCCCUAUGGGUUGUAAACUUCUUUUAUAAAGGAAUAAAACGAGGCACGUGUGCCUUUUUGCAUGUACUUUAUGAAUAAGGAUCGGCUAACUCCGUGCCAGCAGCCGCGGUAAUACGGAGGAUCCGAGCGUUAUCCGGAUUUAUUGGGUUUAAAGGGUGCGUAGAUGGGUUGUUCAGUCAGUUGUGAAAGUUUGCGGCUCAACCGUAAAAUUGCAAUUGAUACUGGCAGUCUUGAGUACAGUUGAGGUAGGCGGAAUUCGUGGUGUAGCGGUGAAAUGCUUAGAUAUCACGAAGAACCCCGAUUGCGAAGGCAGCUUACUAAACUGUGACUGACAUUGAUGCUCGAAAGUGUGGGUAUCGAACAGGAUUAGAUACCCGGGUAGUC
RNAcentral lists this ribosomal RNA (460 nucleotides) under uncultured bacterium. RNAcentral describes it as "partial 16S ribosomal RNA". It matches the Rfam family "Bacterial small subunit ribosomal RNA", at positions 338 to 795 of the family's 1533-position model. The record is from RNAcentral.